AUUGACGCUGGCGGCAGGCUUAACACAUGCAAGUCGAACGGUAACAUAAAGAAGCUUGCUUCUUUGAUGACGAGUGGCGGACGGGUGAGUAAUGCUUGGGAAUCUAGCUUAUGGAGGGGGAUAACUACGGGAAACUGUAGCUAAUACCGCGUAGAAUCGGGAGAUGAAAGUGUGGGACCUUCGGGCCACAUGCCAUAGGAUGAGCCCAAGUGGGAUUAGGUAGUUGGUGAGGUAAAGGCUCACCAAGCCGACGAUCUCUAGCUGGUCUGAGAGGAUGACCAGCCACACUGGGACUGAGACACGGCCCAGACUCCUACGGGAGGCAGCAGUGGGGAAUAUUGCGCAAUGGGGGCAACCCUGACGCAGCCAUGCCGCGUGAAUGAAGAAGGCCUUCGGGUUGUAAAGUUCUUUCGGUAGCGAGGAAGGCAUUUAGUUUAAUAAACUGGAUGAUUGACGUUAACUACAGAAGAAGCACCGGCUAACUCCGUGCCAGCAGCCGCGGUAAUACGGAGGGUGCGAGCGUUAAUCGGAAUAACUGGGCGUAAAGGGCACGCAGGCGGUGACUUAAGUGAGGUGUGAAAGCCCCGGGCUUAACCUGGGAAUUGCAUUUCAUACUGGGUCGCUAGAGUACUUUAGGGAGGGGUAGAAUUCCACGUGUAGCGGUGAAAUGCGUAGAGAUGUGGAGGAAUACCGAAGGCGAAGGCAGCCCCUUGGGAAUGUACUGACGCUCAUGUGCGAAAGCGUGGGGAGCAAACAGG
RNAcentral lists this ribosomal RNA (758 nucleotides) under Parahaemophilus parainfluenzae. RNAcentral's name for it is "Haemophilus parainfluenzae bacterial SSU rRNA". It matches the Rfam family "Bacterial small subunit ribosomal RNA", at positions 28 to 776 of the family's 1533-position model. Lineage: Bacteria; Pseudomonadati; Pseudomonadota; Gammaproteobacteria; Pasteurellales; Pasteurellaceae. The record is from RNAcentral.